UGCAGUCGAACGAUGAUCUCCAGCUUGCUGGGGGGAUUAGUGGCGAACGGGUGAGUAACACGUGAGUAACCUGCCCUUGACUCUGGGAUAAGCCUGGGAAACUGGGUCUAAUACCGGAUAUGACUCCUCAUCGCAUGGUGGGGGGUGGAAAGCUUUUGUGGUUUUGGAUGGACUCGCGGCCUAUCAGCUUGUUGGUGGGGUAAUGGCCUACCAAGGCGACGACGGGUAGCCGGCCUGAGAGGGUGACCGGCCACACUGGGACUGAGACACGGCCCAGACUCCUACGGGAGGCAGCAGUGGGGAAUAUUGCACAAUGGGCGCAAGCCUGAUGCAGCGACGCCGCGUGAGGGAUGACGGCCUUCGGGUUGUAAACCUCUUUCAGUAGGGAAGAAGCCUUUCGGGGUGACGGUACUUGCAGAAGAAGCGCCGGCUAACUACGUGCCAGCAGCCGCGGUAAUACGUAGGGCGCAAGCGUUAUCCGGAAUUAUUGGGCGUAAAGAGCUCGUAGGCGGUUUGUCGCGUCUGCUGUGAAAGACCGGGGCUCAACUCCGGUUCUGCAGUGGGUACGGGCAGACUAGAGUGCAGUAGGGGAGACUGGAAUUCCUGGUGUAGCGGUGAAAUGCGCAGAUAUCAGGAGGAACACCGAUGGCGAAGGCAGGUCUCUGGGCUGUAACUGACGCUGAGGAGCGAAAGCAUGGGGAGCGAACAGGAUUAGAUACCCUGGUAGUCCAUGCCGUAAACGUUGGGCACUAGGUGUGGGGGACAUUCCACGUUUUCCGCGCCGUAGCUAACGCAUUAAGUGCCCCGCCUGGGGGAGUACGGCCGCAAGGCUAAAACUCAAAGGAAUUGACGGGGGCCCGCACAAGCGGCGGAGCAUGCGGAUUAAUUCGAUGCAACGCGAAGAACCUUACCAAGGCUUGACAUGGACCGGAAAGACCUGGAAACAGGUGCCCCGCUUGCGGCCGGUUUACAGGUGGGUGCAUGGUUGUCGUCAGCUCGUGUCCUGAAAUGUUUGGGUUAAGUCCCGCAACGAGCGCAACCCUCGUUCUAUGUUGCCAGCGGUUCGGCCGGG
Molecule: ribosomal RNA, 1072 nt
Filed under: Paenarthrobacter nicotinovorans
Lineage: Bacteria; Bacillati; Actinomycetota; Actinomycetes; Micrococcales; Micrococcaceae
Description: bacterial SSU rRNA
Rfam family: Bacterial small subunit ribosomal RNA
Source: RNAcentral